RNAcentral lists this ribosomal RNA (226 nucleotides) under uncultured Actinomycetales bacterium. RNAcentral's name for it is "partial 16S ribosomal RNA". It matches the Rfam family "Bacterial small subunit ribosomal RNA", at positions 105 to 334 of the family's 1533-position model. Lineage: Bacteria; Bacillati; Actinomycetota; Actinomycetes; Actinomycetales. The record is from RNAcentral.
GGUGAGUAACACGUGGGUGAUCUGCCCUGCACUUACGGGAUAAGCUUGGGAAACUGGGUCUAAUACCGGAUAGGAGCCAUCUUUAGUGUGGUGGUUGGAAAGUUUUUCGGUGUAGGAUGAGCUCGCGGCCUAUCAGCUUGUUGGUGGGGUAAUGGCCUACCAAGGCGGCGACGGGUAACCGGCCUGAGAGGGUGUACGGCCACAUUGGGACUGAGAUACGGCCCAG